UACGAAGGGGGCUAGCGUUGCUCGGAAUCACUGGGCGUAAAGCGCACGUAGGCGGACUCUUAAGUCGGUGGUGAAAUCCUGGAGCUCAACUCCAGAACUGCCUUCGAUACUGAGAGUCUCGAGUCCGAGAGAGGUGAGUGGAACUGCGAGUGUAGAGGUGAAAUUCGUAGAUAUUCGCAAGAACACCAGUGGCGAAGGCGGCUCACUGGCUCGGUACUGACGCUGAGACGCGAAAGCGUGGGGAGCGAACAGG
This 253-nucleotide ribosomal RNA is filed under the name uncultured bacterium. RNAcentral describes it as "partial 16S ribosomal RNA". It matches the Rfam family "Bacterial small subunit ribosomal RNA", at positions 524 to 776 of the family's 1533-position model. The record is from RNAcentral.